This 488-nucleotide ribosomal RNA is filed under the name uncultured bacterium. Its description in RNAcentral is "bacterial SSU rRNA". It matches the Rfam family "Bacterial small subunit ribosomal RNA", at positions 8 to 523 of the family's 1533-position model. The record is from RNAcentral.
AGAGUUUGAUCCUGGCUCAGGGUAAACGCUGGCGGCGUGCCUAAAACAUGCAAGUCGCACGCAGGUCGCAAGGCUUGAGUGGCAGACGGCUGAGUAACGCGUGGGUGACAUACCCAUUGGUGGGGAAUAACUGCCCGAAAGGGUGGCUAAUACCGCAUUCGCCUGCACUUUCGAGGGUGUAGGGAAAGCUCGCAAGGGUGCCGAUGGAGUGGCCCGCGUCCGAUUAGCCAGUUGGUGGGGUAACGGCCUACCAAAGCGACGAUCGGUAGCUGGUCUCAGAGGAUGAUCAGCCAGACUGGGACUGAGACACGGCCCAGACUCCUACGGGAGGCAGCAGUGGGGAAUAUUGGACAAUGGGCGCAAGCCUGAUCCAGCCAUGCCGCGUGAGUGAUGAAGGCCUUAGGGUUGUAAAGCUCUUUUGCCGGGGACGAUAAUGACGGUACCCGGAGAAUAAGUCCCGGCUAACUUCGUGCCAGCAGCCGCGGUAG